This 74-nucleotide transfer RNA is filed under the name Candidatus Moraniibacteriota bacterium. RNAcentral's name for it is "Candidatus Moranbacteria bacterium tRNA-Ala". It matches the Rfam family "tRNA". From Rfam's summary of the family: Transfer RNA (tRNA) molecules are approximately 80 nucleotides in length. Their secondary structure includes four short double-helical elements and three loops (D, anti-codon, and T loops). The record is from RNAcentral. Lineage: Bacteria; Candidatus Moraniibacteriota.
GGGCCUGUAGCUUAGUGGUAGAGCACCCGGUUUGCAUCCGGGAGAGAGGGGUUCGAUUCCCCUCAGGUCCACCA